GCGGCCACGUCAUGUUGAAACACCGGUUCCCGUAUGAUCACUGAAGUUAAGCAACAUUUGUUCACUACCUACAUGGGUGACCACUUGGGAAUACCAGGUGCGGCAAG
Acanthosepion pharaonis is the source of this 107-nucleotide non-coding RNA. The record is from the annotation of a GenBank genome assembly. NCBI's taxonomy places the organism in Eukaryota, Metazoa, Mollusca, Cephalopoda, Sepiida, Sepiidae.